RNAcentral lists this ribosomal RNA (253 nucleotides) under uncultured bacterium. Its description in RNAcentral is "partial 16S ribosomal RNA". It matches the Rfam family "Bacterial small subunit ribosomal RNA", at positions 524 to 776 of the family's 1533-position model. The record is from RNAcentral.
UACAGAGGUCUCAAGCGUUGUUCGGAUUCAUUGGGCGUAAAGGGUGUGUAGGUGGCGCGCUAAGUCGGGUGUGAAAUUUCGGAGCUUAACUCCGAAACUGCAUUCGAUACUGGCGUGCUUGAGGACUGGAGAGGAGACUGGAAUUCCUGGUGUAGCGGUGAAAUGCGCAGAUAUCAGGAGGAACACCAAUGGCGAAGGCAGAUCUCUGGGCCGUAACUGACGCUGAGGAGCGAAAGCAUGGGGAGCGAACAGG